This is a non-coding RNA of Camellia sinensis, 1739 nucleotides long. The record is from RefSeq and is a predicted model, not a curated record. Lineage: Eukaryota; Viridiplantae; Streptophyta; Magnoliopsida; Ericales; Theaceae.
AAUUUGGUUUUUUUUUUUUUUAAAAAAAAAAAAAAAAACUCGAAGGUUCCAAAGAGAAGGAAAGAGAGGAAGAGCAGAGAGAUUCAAACCCAAAAUUCAAAACCAAUCAGACAAAUCAAACCCAAAACUCAAAAUCAAAAAUCAAAUCCACAAAUUAAACCCACAAAUUAAAACCAAAAAUCAAACCCAAAGAGAUUUAAAUCAAAAUAAAAAAUCAAACCCAGAGAUAUUCAUAUCAAAACUGUGUGUGUGGCAGAAAGAUGAGAUGAGAUGAGAGAGAGCCAUAAUAAUAGAGAGGGAGAGAGAGAGAGUUAUCCAUGCAUUUAAGAAAGCGUGGCCGGCAUUGAUGGCCAUUGAAUGAUUCACCACCCACCUUACCUAAACUUCAUUAAUAAGUGGCUCAUUAAUUUCCCUCACCUUUAUCACUAUCGUAUUUGACCAUAAGUGUCCAUUUCAUACACUCUCUCCUAACACACAGAAACACACAAGAGAAAGAGAGAAAAAGAGUCUCUUAUGUGUGUAUACAGAUCUAUUCCCCUACUCUGUUUUCAAAAGGAAAAAGAGAAGAAGGAAGCUAGAGAGGGGGAAUAGAUCUGUAUACACACAGAGGAGACUCUUUUUCUCUCUUUCUCUUGUGUGUGUUUGUGUAUUAGGAGGGAGUGCAUGAAAUGGACACUUAUGGUCAAAUACCACAAUGAUAGAGGUAAAAGAGAUUUAUGAGCCACUUAUUAAUAAAGUUUAGGUAAGGUGGGUGGUGAAGCAUUCAAUGGCCAUCAAUGCCGGCCAUGCUUUCUUAAGUAAUUGGAAAUAAAGCCGCAGUAUGCCUUUGUUUGGGGGUUUAAAAGCCACUUUUGUCACUGGAUAUGGAAUACUGUUGCAAGACUUCCUUUUUGAGACAUCUGAUGGUAGCCCUCUCACUUCAGCUUUUGGAUGUCCUCUUGUUGAGACAGUGGCAGACGAGUUGACCAUAAAAAAUUGGAAAUAGAGCCACAGUAUCCUUUAUUUGAAGGCUGGAAGGCCACUUUUGUCAUUGGAUAUGGACUACCAUUGCAAGGCUUCCUUUUUGAGUGAUCUGAUGGUAGGCGUUACCUCAACUUCAGGUUUUGGAUGUCCUCUUGUUGAGACAGUAGUAGACGAGUUGACCAUCAAAGUGAUUCUGCCAGAGGGAUCAAAACACGCUUCUGCUGUGGUUCCUUUUCCACUGCAACAACAUCUAGAGCGAAAUUUCAUGAGUGCAGACCAGUUGCUCAUAUCUUGACGUCAUUGGAAACAUUGUAGCAGUGGUGGUUCCUGGACACAAAGUCUACUUUCCAGGUGAUUUACUAACUUAUUGUGCUGAUUUUCAGAUUUGCCUUAGCAUUAGUUCUUUUCGGCCUUGAGUUAUAACAAGAUUAAGGAUAAUUUUGGAUGAUUUUGAGGUUUGAUGCAUGUAUGUUGAGAAUUAGUUUAAUUUUUUAAGACAAAUGAAGCAUACACACGAGACACAACAAGUACAGACGUUGUCGUUUGUACAACAUUUGGGUAACUUGAAUAUUUAACAAAUGUUCAUAGAGACAUUAGUGAACAAACAAGACAUCUAAUACGGCAUGUUUAUACAAAACAUGUAAAAACAAGCUUAUGUUAUGUUUAAAAUUUUAUAUCUUUAUGUAGGCAUGUUAUUUACUGUUAUUUCUAACAGCUACUGAUUUAUUAUUUUUUAAAUAACAAAUAAAAAAAACUGCAAGACAUAAAUUAAAAAA